GAUGAACGCCAGCUACAGGCUUAACACAUGCAAGUUCGAGGGGCAGCAUGAUUGAAGCUCGCUUUCAAUCGAUGGCGACCGGCGCACGGGUCGAGUAACACGUAUCCAACCUGCCGAUAACUCGGGGAUAGCCUUUCGAAAGAAAGAUUAAUACCCGAUAGCAUAGUUUUUCUGCAUGGUCUCACUAUUAAAGAAUUUCGGUUAUCGAUGGGGAUGCGUUUCCAUUAGAUAGUUGGCGGGGUAACGGCCCACCAAGUCAACGAUGGAUAGGGGUUCUGAGAGGAAGGUCCCCCACAUUGGAACUGAGACACGGUCCAAACUCCUACGGGAGGCAGCAGUGAGGAAUAUUGGUCAAUGGACGAGAGUCUGAACCAGCCAAGUAGCGUGAAGGAUGACUGCCCUAUGGGUUGUAAACUUCUUUUAUACGGGAAUAAAGUGGAGUAUGCAUACUCCUUUGUAUGUACCGUAUGAAUAAGGAUCGGCUAACUCCGUGCCAGCAGCCGCGGUAAUACGGAGGAUCCGAGCGUUAUCCGGAUUUAUUGGGUUUAAAGGGAGCGUAGGCGGGUGCUUAAGUCAGUUGUGAAAGUUUGCGGCUCAACCGUAAAAUUGCAGUUGAUACUGGGCGCCUUGAGUGCAGCAUAGGUAGGCGGAAUUCGUGGUGUAGCGGUGAAAUGCUUAGAUAUCACGAAGAACUCCGAUUGCGAAGGCAGCUUACUGGACUGUAACUGACGCUGAUGCUCGAAAGUGUGGGUAUCAAACAGAAUUAGAUACCCUGGUAGUCCACACAGUAAACGAUGAAUACUCGCUGUUGGCGAUACACAGUCAGCGGCCAAGCGAAAGCAUUAAGUAUUCCACCUGGGGAGUACGCCGGCAACGGUGAAACUCAAAGGAAUUGACGGGGGCCCGCACAAGCGGAGGAACAUGUGGUUUAAUUCGAUGAUACGCGAGGAACCUUACCCGGGCUUAAAUUGCAGCGGAAUGUAGUGGAAACAUUACAGCCUUCGGGCCGCUGUGAAGGUGCUGCAUGGUUGUCGUCAGCUCGUGCCGUGAGGUGUCGGCUUAAGUGCCAUAACGAGCGCAACCCUUAUCUAUAGUUACUAUCAGGUCAUGCUGAGGACUCUAUGGAGACUGCCGUCGUAAGAUGUGAGGAAGGUGGGGAUGACGUCAAAUCAGCACGGCCCUUACGUCCGGGGCUACACACGUGUUACAAUGGGGGGUACAGAAGGCAGCUACCUGGCGACUGGAUGCUAAUCCCUAAAACCUCUCUCAGUUCGGAUUGGAGUCUGCAACCCGACUCCAUGAAGCUGGAUUCGCUAGUAAUCGCGCAUCAGCCACGGCGCGGUGAAUACGUUCCCGGGCCU
Molecule: ribosomal RNA, 1361 nt
Filed under: uncultured bacterium
Lineage: Bacteria
Description: bacterial SSU rRNA
Rfam family: Bacterial small subunit ribosomal RNA
Source: RNAcentral